AGUGAACGCUGGCGGUAGGCCUAACACAUGCAAGUCGAACGGCAGCACAGUAAGAGCUUGCUCUUACGGGUGGCGAGUGGCGGACGGGUGAGGAAUACAUCGGAAUCUACUUUUUCGUGGGGGAUAACGUAGGGAAACUUACGCUAAUACCGCAUACGACCUACGGGUGAAAGCAGGGGAUCUUCGGACCUUGCGCGAUUGAAUGAGCCGAUGUCGGAUUAGCUAGUUGGCGGGGUAAAGGCCCACCAAGGCGACGAUCCGUAGCUGGUCUGAGAGGAUGAUCAGCCACACUGGAACUGAGACACGGUCCAGACUCCUACGGGAGGCAGCAGUGGGGAAUAUAGGACAAUGGGCGCAAGCCUGAUCCAGCCAUACCGCGUGGGUGAAGAAGGCCUUCGGGUUGUAAAGCCCUUUUGUUGGGAAAGAAAAGCAGCAGGUUAAUACCCCGCUGUUCUGACGGUACCCAAAGAAUAAGCACCGGCUAACUUCGG
This 491-nucleotide ribosomal RNA is filed under the name uncultured bacterium. RNAcentral's name for it is "partial 16S ribosomal RNA". It matches the Rfam family "Bacterial small subunit ribosomal RNA", at positions 29 to 506 of the family's 1533-position model. The record is from RNAcentral.